UGAUCCUGGCUCAGAACGAACGCUGGCGGCAUGCCUCAUACAUGCAAGUCGAACGAGGUCUUCGGACCUAGUGGCGCACGGGUGAGUAACAUGUGGGAAUCUACCUGAAGGUUCGGAAUAACUGCGGGAAACUGUAGCUAAUACCGGAUGUGUCUGCAAAGAGAAAGAUUUAUCGCCUUCAGAUGAGCCCGCACUAGAUUAGCUAGUUGGUGAGGUAAUUGCUCCACCAAGGCUACGAUCUAUAGCUGAUUUGAGAGGAUGAUCAGCCACACUGGGACUGAGACACGGCCCAGACUCCUACGGGAGGCAGCAGUAGGGAAUAUUGGACAAUGGGGGAAACCCUGAUCCAGCAAUGCCGCGUGAGUGAAGAAGGCCUUCGGGUUGUAAAGCUCUUUCAUCAAUGAUGAUAAUGACAUUAGUUGAAGAAGAAGCCCCGGCUAACUUCGUGCCAGCAGCCGCGGUAAUACGAAGGGGGCUAGCGUUGUUCGGAAUCACUGGGCGUAAAGCGUAUGUAGGCGGAUCAAAAAGUUAGAUGUGAAAUCCCUGGGCUCAACCCAGGAACUGCAUUUAAAACUAGUGAUCUAGAAUUUGGUAGGGGCCAGUAGAAUUUCCAGUGUAGAGGUGAAAUUCGUAGAUAUUGGAAAGAAUACCAGUGGCGAAGGCGACUGGCUGGGCCAUUUUUGACGCUGAGAUACGAAAGCGUGGGUAGCAAACAGGAUUAGAUACCCUGGUAGU
RNAcentral lists this ribosomal RNA (735 nucleotides) under uncultured marine bacterium. Its description in RNAcentral is "bacterial SSU rRNA". It matches the Rfam family "Bacterial small subunit ribosomal RNA", at positions 14 to 794 of the family's 1533-position model. The record is from RNAcentral.